RNAcentral lists this microRNA (22 nucleotides) under Panagrellus redivivus. Its description in RNAcentral is "prd-miR-7870-3p". Lineage: Eukaryota; Metazoa; Nematoda; Chromadorea; Rhabditida; Panagrolaimidae. The record is from miRBase by way of RNAcentral.
CAUGCAAUCCAUUCAGUGUUGC